RNAcentral lists this long non-coding RNA (490 nucleotides) under Mytilus galloprovincialis (Mediterranean mussel). The record is from RNAcentral. Lineage: Eukaryota; Metazoa; Mollusca; Bivalvia; Mytilida; Mytilidae.
GUUAAACUGUAUUCAUUCUUGGUGUAUGAAAUGGAGAAUGACUUUAAAUGAGACCAAGACCAAAAUUAUACAUUUUCGUAACAAAAAGGCUCCGAGAUCAGCCUUCAAUUUUAAAUGCGGUGAUAUGCCUAUUAGCUUUGACAAUGUGUACAGAUAUUUAGGAUUACAUAUAAACGAAUUUAUGGAACACAAAUAUACGAUCCGAGAGAUAACAAAAUCAGCAAGCCGGGCGCUUUCUGCAGUAUACACUAAAUUUUUAUCAUGUGGAGGGAUGUCAUUUGAUGUUUAUACAAAACUUUAUAAAACUCUUAUUGAACCCGUGCUAUUACAUGGAGCCGGAUUAUGGGGACACAACAACUGGAGAGAAGUUCAAACAAUUCAGAACAAGGCAUGUAGACUUUUUAUGGGAAGUUCAUCAAAUGCGUCGAAUAUAGCGGUUUUAGGUGAUAUGGGUUUUAAAACAACAAAAUCAGCCGAACUGUUAGAAACG